Molecule: long non-coding RNA, 918 nt
Filed under: Citrus maxima (pomelo)
Lineage: Eukaryota; Viridiplantae; Streptophyta; Magnoliopsida; Sapindales; Rutaceae
Description: long non-coding RNA (CMAX_LNC000823)
Source: RNAcentral
ACAACGCCAUUCACGCUCCAUCUUCGUCUCUCCUCUAUUCACACUCCACAACAAGCACUUAUUUCUUCCCUUUUCAUUUACACUCCCCAGCAAGGGAUGUUCGCUUUUCCCUUCCAUCGACGUCACAAGGGUCACAUAACCAACUGCACUGCCAUAGCGAAUGCUCAUUUCUGGGUGGAAACAAGCGACAGGAGCGUGACGUGAGAUCGGGAGGCUUCUGGCAAUUCGCAGAGUCAUGGCCUGCUGCUGACUGACACGGCAUCGUCAAUGGCGACUAGCAACUGGAAAAUCACAACCCUAAAACUUUGGGGUUUACAUGUUAUUGUUUACUAAUUUUAGGUUUGGGUAUUUUAUAAUUUGUUUGAUAUAUAAAUUAUUUUGAUUGUGCGUAGAAAUUGGAAAUUUAUGUUGUCUAUGGUGCUUUCAAAGUAAAUAUUCGGGAUAUAGUGAAUUUUUUUUAACUUUACUUCAAAGAUCUUUUUCUCACAAGAUGCUUGUUUUGCAGAGGGGUGAAAGUUUUGAAGAAAUAGAAGAAGAAAGAAAGAGUAGUAGCCAUGAUUGAUUUCCUCUGCGCAGGAGUUUGGGAUUUGAGAGUACGCAUGACUCUGAGAAGAUCUCUGAUUGUGAUCAAUUGGGUCUCACUUAAAUCUUGGUAAUAACGAAUGACUUGCUUGAUUUCUCUGCAUCGGCUCGUGAAAGGGAAGUGGGAAAUGUGACGAUGUUGGAGCAGAAGAGUUGGACUCUAGGCUUUGGUUCUAGAACUGAUAAUUCCAAUUAAUUUUAGUUUUAGUUUAAUUUCUUAAAAAAAAGCUUAAUUUAUUGUAAUUAUUUUCGGUUUGUAUUUCAUCAUUUUUGUUUUACAUUUUAUAAUUAUCUUUUCAAGAAAAUAAAUUGGCAAUUGCCAAAUAAUAUAUUCCU